This is a long non-coding RNA of Solanum stenotomum, 129 nucleotides long. RefSeq lists it as uncharacterized. The transcript is spliced from 3 exons. Lineage: Eukaryota; Viridiplantae; Streptophyta; Magnoliopsida; Solanales; Solanaceae. The record is from RefSeq and is a predicted model, not a curated record.
UAUGUCUGAUAUGCAGAAGUAAAAAUUGUCCUUCCUUUGUCUCACCACAGGUACUGUGUUAGGCAUAUUGAGGCCAACUGGAUGAAGAGAUUUAGGUCAGGAGAGAUGAAGAAACUGCUUUGGUGGGCU